This 264-nucleotide long non-coding RNA is filed under the name Panax ginseng (ginseng). RNAcentral describes it as "long non-coding RNA (PGIN_LNC017482)". Lineage: Eukaryota; Viridiplantae; Streptophyta; Magnoliopsida; Apiales; Araliaceae. The record is from RNAcentral.
UAGGAAAACACUUAGUCCGCCUAGGAAAACCUAGGCACUAGGCUCCCCCUCCACCACCUAGGUAUUUUUAAAACACUAGCUUAAAUCACAAUUUGUUAUUCCACAAAAUAAUGUUUUAAUGAGCUCAUGCAAUAACUUGGCUGAAACAAUAAAAAGGAACAAAAUGAAAAUUUUGCAGGUUAAAUGUGUAAACUUCAUGCAUAUCACAACUUGAGGAAUGCAUUAUACUCGAGUGAUUACAAUGGUCAUAUAAGGGAAAAUGAG